UGGGGAAUCUUGCGCAAUGGGCGAAAGCCUGACGCAGCGACGCCGCGUGCGGGAAGAAGGCCUUCGGGUUGUAAACCGCUUUCAGGGGGGAAGAAGCGAAAGUGACGGUACCCCCAGAAGAAGCCCCGGCCAACUACGUGCCAGCAGCCGCGGUAAUACGUAGGGGGCGAGCGUUGUCCGGAAUUAUUGGGCGUAAAGAGCUCGUAGGCGGUUCGGUAAGUCGGAUGUGAAAUCUCAGGGCUCAACCCUGAAACUGCAUCCGAUACUGCCGGACUUGAGGCAGGUAGGGGAAGGUGGAAUUCCUGGUGUAGCGGUGAAAUGCGCAGAUAUCAGGAGGAACACCAAUGGCGAAGGCAGCCUUCUGGGCCUGUACUGACGCUGAGGAGCGAAAGCGUGGGGAGCGAACAGG
Molecule: ribosomal RNA, 409 nt
Filed under: uncultured bacterium
Lineage: Bacteria
Description: bacterial SSU rRNA
Rfam family: Bacterial small subunit ribosomal RNA
Source: RNAcentral